Molecule: ribosomal RNA, 497 nt
Filed under: uncultured bacterium
Lineage: Bacteria
Description: partial 16S ribosomal RNA
Rfam family: Bacterial small subunit ribosomal RNA
Source: RNAcentral
GAUGAACGCUGGCGGCGUGCCUAAUACAUGCAAGUCGAGCGAACAGAUGAGGAGCUUGCUCCUCUGACGUUAGCGGCGGACGGGUGAGUAACACGUGGAUAACCUACCUAUAAGACUGGGAUAACUUCGGGAAACCGGAGCUAAUACCGGAUAAUAUUUUGAACCGCAUGGUUCAAUAGUGAAAGACGGUUUUGCUGUCACUUAUAGAUGGAUCCGCGCCGCAUUAGCUAGUUGGUAAGGUAACGGCUUACCAAGGCAACGAUGCGUAGCCGACCUGAGAGGGUGAUCGGCCACACUGGAACUGAGACACGGUCCAGACUCCUACGGGAGGCAGCAGUAGGGAAGCUUCCGCAAUGGGCGAAAGCAUGACGGAGCAACGCCGCGUGAGUGAUGAAGGUCUUCGGAUCGUAAAACUCUGUUAUUAGGGAAGAACAAAUGUGUAAGUAACUAUGCACGUCUUGACGGUAACUAAUCAGAAAGCAACGGCUAACUACGUG